Long non-coding RNA from Homo sapiens (human), 917 nucleotides. The record is from Ensembl. Lineage: Eukaryota; Metazoa; Chordata; Mammalia; Primates; Hominidae.
CCUGCCCUCCAGAGUCUUGCUAUUAGUAGAGUAGAUAGACAAAAACAAAAGUAUGCCAAAAAAUGUGGCAGCAUGCUACAUGAUGUCAUAAAGGUCUGACCUUUUUUUUAAAAUAGCAGACCAGACUUUGGGCCAUGGGGAAAGAAAGUGCUGUGUUCUACCCCAAGAUAUUAUGGAAGAUUCUUAAGAAUGGGACUUUUAGUCUAAGAAAAAACAGAAUGUGGCAGGGAGACGAGGGCCUUCUAGGCAAAGAGAAUGAAUGAAUAGCUUAUACGAAGGCACAGGGGCAAGGGGAGAACAAACAAAACAAGCAUAGACUGUUCAAGAACUUCAAGUGACUUAGGUGACUCCUGAGCUCAGAAUUCAUGCGGCAGGAGCAGCAGCGGGAGAUGACUCUAGAAAGCUGGACUAGGAAGGUACCAGGAAAGGCCUUGUAGGCGUUACUAAAUUCGUUAAUGGACAGUGCUGAGAGAACUGUUCAUGUGUUAAUUAAUCUCAUUAAUAUAUAGUCACCCAGUGUAGGUGCAGAAAAGGAAUUAAGAAAUAUUCAUGCAGCCAAAAAAAGAAUGAGAUUGUCUUUUGUGGUAACAUGAAUGGAACUGGAGGCCAUUAUUCUUAGCAAACUAACACAGGAACAGAAAACCAAAUACUGCAUGUUCUCACCUAUAAGUGGAAGCUAUAAAUGAUAAGAAUUUAUUAACACAAAGAAGGAAACAACAGACACUGGGGUCUACUUGAGGGUGGAGGGUGGGAGGAGGGAGAGGAGCAGAAAAAUAACCAUUGGGUCCUGGGCUUAAUACCUGGGUGAUGAAAUAAUACGUACAACAAACCUUGGUGACAUAUGUUUACCUAUGUAACAAACCUUCAUGUGUACCCCUGAACCUAAAAUAAUAGUUAAAAAAAGUAUUUAAAUUAUA